Molecule: unclassified non-coding RNA, 1018 nt
Filed under: Yarrowia lipolytica
Lineage: Eukaryota; Fungi; Ascomycota; Dipodascomycetes; Dipodascales
Source: RNAcentral
AGAGAAAGACAAGACCGCCAAGCUCGUAUUUGGGAGACGGAUCUCCCAUGCUGAUACACCACGCACGUGCCAUGGCAGAGACGGGCUCAUAUGAGUUUAUGAGCGGACACUUAUCAAGGUAUAAGCGUGCGGGAGUAUGUGAGAUGGAGGUCUACCUACCGGUAAAUACUUGACGGAGGUGGAGCACGGGUGUCAAUACGUUUAACUGUUAUCGUGACAGACGACGUGAUCUUCAAUGUUGUGUACACCAAGAGUGAUCUUUCAUCUGGGCCCUCCUAUACUUGAUCUCGGCUUCUCACGAUAUCCAUCCAGGGAACCUCGGCAAGUAUACCCACAUACCAGUACAAGUACAAGUACAUGUACAAGCAUGUCUGAUCGCUCCUCGAAAGCCAAAGUGGCUUGUACAUUAUCCCCGGCUAAAGUCCGAUCGGGUCGGAGAUAGCGUGUGGGCACUACAAGUAUAUCAGCUUGUACUGCAAGUUACAGCAUACCAGUACCUAGCACCAGCUAGGGAAACAGACCGACCGAGCUAGGAACUACCGCAGCAUUUCGUCAGGCCAUUUACUUCUACUCCAGGCAGCAUGAACCAACUACAGUACAUUCGAUUGCUACUUGUACGUUUCAAUCCCAUGACCAAGCUUAUAUCACGUUAUUUGGAGCUCUGCUUAAAGUCUGGAUGUUACUUCCACCCUGAGCGUGAUCUGAGAAGCCGGUGGAAUAUGCAACAGCGUCCUAAUUAUAACACUGGUAACACCAUGUCUGAGCUUGGGGAGAAUAGACAUGAUGCUAUAGUAUGUACAUGGAAAGAAGGGUUUAAUGACAUGCUGUAAAACAGCUGAAGGUCAGAUAAAAAAAAUUGAAGGCGGAUCAUGUGAGUAGAACUUCUCCGAAUCGAUAGUUGCAACAGUACAUACGAGUACGCGAGUUCUGUAGCGACUACUACUGUAUGAUCCAUGUUGGCGGCUGCAACAGAUAUCGGUGCUUCUCUUCAGACUCUAUAAAUCAAAGAGAUGGGUGU